UACGUAGGGUGCGAGCGUUGUCCGGAAUUAUUGGGCGUAAAGAGCUUGUAGGCGGUCUGUCGCGUCUGCUGUGAAAAUCCGGGGCUCAACCCCGGACUUGCAGUGGGUACGGGCAGACUAGAGUGUGGUAGGGGAGUCUGGAAUUCCUGGUGUAGCGGUGAAAUGCGCAGAUAUCAGGAAGAACACCCGUGGCGAAGGCGGCUCUCUGGGACGGUACUGACGCUGAGACGCGAAAGCGUGGGGAGCGAACAGG
RNAcentral lists this ribosomal RNA (253 nucleotides) under uncultured bacterium. RNAcentral's name for it is "partial 16S ribosomal RNA". It matches the Rfam family "Bacterial small subunit ribosomal RNA", at positions 524 to 776 of the family's 1533-position model. The record is from RNAcentral.